AGAUAAGCGUCAAGUGGAUGGCUUCGGUUUUGCUUGACGACGAAAACCUAAGCGAAUAUAAUCAUGUAGAAACCUUAUAGGUUUUCCGUUUGGACGAGGGUUCGAUCCCCUCCGCCUCCACCU
This 123-nucleotide transfer-messenger RNA is filed under the name Bacteroidales bacterium. RNAcentral describes it as "partial transfer-messenger RNA". It matches the Rfam family "transfer-messenger RNA", at positions 236 to 374 of the family's 374-position model. From Rfam's summary of the family: Bacterial tmRNA, also known as 10Sa RNA or SsrA, is named for its dual tRNA and mRNA-like properties. Its role is to liberate the mRNA from a stalled ribosome. The record is from RNAcentral. Lineage: Bacteria; Pseudomonadati; Bacteroidota; Bacteroidia; Bacteroidales.